GAUGAACGCUGGCGGCGUGCCUAAUACAUGCAAGUCGAGCGAACAGAUGAGGAGCUUGCUCCUCUGACGUUAGCGGCGGACGGGUGAGUAACACGUGUAUAACCUACCUAUAAGACUGGGAUAACUUCGGGAAACCGGAGCUAAUACCGGAUAAUAUAUUGAACCGCAUGGUUCAAUAGUGAAAGACGGUUUUGCUGUCACUUAUCGAUGGAUCCCGCCUUAUUAGCUAGUUGGUAAGGUAACGGCUUACCAAGGCAACGAUGCGUAGCCGACCUGAGAGGGUGAUCGGCCACACUGGAACUGAGACACGGUCCAGACUCCUACGGGAGGCAGCAGUAGGGAAUCUUCCGCAAUGGGCGAAAGCCUGACGGAGCAACGCCGCGUGAGUGAUGAAGGUCUUCGGAUCGUAAAACUCUGUUAUUAGGGAAGAACAAAUGUGUAAGUAACUAUGCACGUCUUGACGGUACCUAAUCAGAAAGCCACGGCUAACUACGUG
Molecule: ribosomal RNA, 496 nt
Filed under: uncultured bacterium
Lineage: Bacteria
Description: partial 16S ribosomal RNA
Rfam family: Bacterial small subunit ribosomal RNA
Source: RNAcentral